This 214-nucleotide long non-coding RNA is filed under the name Capsicum annuum. RNAcentral describes it as "long non-coding RNA (CANN_LNC003710)". Lineage: Eukaryota; Viridiplantae; Streptophyta; Magnoliopsida; Solanales; Solanaceae. The record is from RNAcentral.
UUCCUUUCGUUUACUUAUUUACAUGUUUCUUUGCGAACUUAGUUAAAAUCCCUAACUAAGUCGCCUAAAAACUAGUUUUGCAUAAACACUAAAAUAUCACUAAAAUUGCUUUUCUUUGCAGAAAUCAACUUUUUUCCAAAGUUAGUCAAAGACAAUUUUCAAACAGUCCGGAUAACCGCAAGUUAGCGGAUGUUUUAUGUGCCUAACACCUUCC